RNAcentral lists this non-coding RNA (121 nucleotides) under Pantoea stewartii subsp. stewartii DC283. The record is from RNAcentral. Lineage: Bacteria; Pseudomonadati; Pseudomonadota; Gammaproteobacteria; Enterobacterales; Erwiniaceae.
AUUGGAAGAGCGGGAGGCAUUCAGCGAUGGAUGGCGCUCUGACAUGGACGGCAGCGAUGCCCGUCCCUUCUGAGUAGUGUGCUACGAUUUUGCCAGCAGAGUUAUUCUGCUGGUUUUUUUU